Molecule: ribosomal RNA, 2672 nt
Filed under: Salmonella enterica subsp. enterica serovar Typhimurium
Lineage: Bacteria; Pseudomonadati; Pseudomonadota; Gammaproteobacteria; Enterobacterales; Enterobacteriaceae
Description: bacterial LSU rRNA
Rfam family: Bacterial large subunit ribosomal RNA
Source: RNAcentral
UUAAGCGACUAAGCGUACACGGUGGAUGCCCUGGCAGUCAGAGGCGAUGAAGGGCGUGCUAAUCUGCGAUAAGCGCCGGUAAGGUGAUAUGAACCGUUAUAACCGGCGAUACCCGAAUGGGGAAACCCAGUGUGAUUCGUCACACUAUCAUUAACUGAAUCCAUAGGUUAAUGAGGCGAACCGGGGGAACUGAAACAUCUAAGUACCCCGAGGAAAAGAAAUCAACCGAGAUUCCCCCAGUAGCGGCGAGCGAACGGGGAGGAGCCCAGAGCCUGAAUCAGCAUGUGUGUUAGUGGAAGCGUCUGGAAAGGCGCGCGAUACAGGGUGACAGCCCCGUACACAAAAGCGCAUGUGCUGUGAGCUCGAUGAGUAGGGCGGGACACGUGGUAUCCUGUCUGAAUAUGGGGGGACCAUCCUCCAAGGCUAAAUACUCCUGACUGACCGAUAGUGAACCAGUACCGUGAGGGAAAGGCGAAAAGAACCCCGGCGAGGGGAGUGAAAAAGAACCUGAAACCGUGUACGUACAAGCAGUGGGAGCACAGGUUUACCUGUGUGACUGCGUACCUUUUGUAUAAUGGGUCAGCGACUUAUAUUCUGUAGCAAGGUUAACCGUAUAGGGGAGCCGUAGGGAAACCGAGUCUUAACCGGGCGUUAAGUUGCAGGGUAUAGACCCGAAACCCGGUGAUCUAGCCAUGGGCAGGUUGAAGGUUGGGUAACACUAACUGGAGGACCGAACCGACUAAUGUUGAAAAAUUAGCGGAUGACCUGUGGCUGGGGGUGAAAGGCCAAUCAAACCGGGAGAUAGCUGGUUCUCCCCGAAAGCUAUUUAGGUAGCGCCUCGUGAAUUCAUCUCCGGGGGUAGAGCACUGUUUCGGCUAGGGGCAUCCCGGCUUACCAACCCGAUGCAAACUGCGAAUACCGGAGAAUGUUAUCACGGGAGACACACGGCGGGUGCUAACGUCCGUCGUGAAGAGGGAAACAACCCAGACCGCCAGCUAAGGUCCCAAAGUCAUGGUUAAGUGGGAAACGAUGUGGGAAGGCCCAGACAGCCAGGAUGUUGGCUUAGAAGCAGCCAUCAUUUAAAGAAAGCGUAAUAGCUCACUGGUCGAGUCGGCCUGCGCGGAAGAUGUAACGGGGCUAAACCAUGCACCGAAGCUGCGGCAGCGAACGUAUCACUUAAAGCGAUUCAGCGGGUUACGAUUGACGGAGCGAAGCGACGUCAAAGCGUAUACAAAGUCGAGUCGGUUUAAGGAUACGUUCGUUGGGUAGGGGAGCGUUCUGUAAGCCCGUGAAGGUGGCCUGUGAGGGUUGCUGGAGGUAUCAGAAGUGCGAAUGCUGACAUAAGUAACGAUAAAGCGGGUGAAAAGCCCGCUCGCCGGAAGACCAAGGGUUCCUGUCCAACGUUAAUCGGGGCAGGGUGAGUCGACCCCUAAGGCGAGGCCGAAAGGCGUAGUCGAUGGGAAACGGGUUAAUAUUCCCGUACUUGGUGUUACUGCGAAGGGGGGACGGAGAAGGCUAUGUUGGCCGGGCGACGGUUGUCCCGGUUUAAGCGUGUAGGUGUGUGUUCCAGGUAAAUCCGGUUCACUUUAACACUGAGGCGUGACGACGAGGCACUACGGUGCUGAAGCAACAAAUGCCCUGCUUCCAGGAAAAGCCUCUAAGCAUCAGGUAACACGAAAUCGUACCCCAAACCGACACAGGUGGUCAGGUAGAGAAUACCAAGGCGCUUGAGAGAACUCGGGUGAAGGAACUAGGCAAAAUGGUGCCGUAACUUCGGGAGAAGGCACGCUGACACGUAGGUGAAGUGAUUUACUCAUGGAGCUGAAGUCAGUCGAAGAUACCAGCUGGCUGCAACUGUUUAUUAAAAACACAGCACUGUGCAAACACGAAAGUGGACGUAUACGGUGUGACGCCUGCCCGGUGCCGGAAGGUUAAUUGAUGGGGUCAGCGUAAGCGAAGCUCCUGAUCGAAGCCCCGGUAAACGGCGGCCGUAACUAUAACGGUCCUAAGGUAGCGAAAUUCCUUGUCGGGUAAGUUCCGACCUGCACGAAUGGCGUAAUGAUGGCCAGGCUGUCUCCACCCGAGACUCAGUGAAAUUGAACUCGCUGUGAAGAUGCAGUGUACCCGCGGCAAGACGGAAAGACCCCGUGAACCUUUACUAUAGCUUGACACUGAACAUUGAGCCUUGAUGUGUAGGAUAGGUGGGAGGCUUUGAAGUGUGGACGCCAGUCUGCAUGGAGCCGACCUUGAAAUACCACCCUUUAAUGUUUGAUGUUCUAACGUGGACCCGUAAUCCGGGUUGCGGACAGUGUCUGGUGGGUAGUUUGACUGGGGCGGUCUCCUCCUAAAGAGUAACGGAGGAGCACGAAGGUUGGCUAAUCCUGGUCGGACAUCAGGAGGUUAGUGCAAUGGCAUAAGCCAGCUUGACUGCGAGCGUGACGGCGCGAGCAGGUGCGAAAGCAGGUCAUAGUGAUCCGGUGGUUCUGAAUGGAAGGGCCAUCGCUCAACGGAUAAAAGGUACUCCGGGGAUAACAGGCUGAUACCGCCCAAGAGUUCAUAUCGACGGCGGUGUUUGGCACCUCGAUGUCGGCUCAUCACAUCCUGGGGCUGAAGUAGGUCCCAAGGGUAUGGCUGUUCGCCAUUUAAAGUGGUACGCGAGCUGGGUUUAGAAC